Molecule: ribosomal RNA, 429 nt
Filed under: uncultured bacterium
Lineage: Bacteria
Description: bacterial SSU rRNA
Rfam family: Bacterial small subunit ribosomal RNA
Source: RNAcentral
UGGGGAAUUUUCCGCAAUGGGCGCAAGCCUGACGGAGCGACGCCGCGUGAGGGAUGAAGGCCUUCGGGUCGUAAACCUCUUUUGCAAGGGAAAAACGCGUACGUGCUAACACCACGGACGUUUGAUGGUACUUUGCGAAUAAGCCCCGGCUAACUACGUGCCAGCAGCCGCGGUAAAACGUAGGGGGCGAGCGUUGUCCGGAAUUACUGGGCGUAAAGCGCGUGUAGGUGGUUAAAUAAGUCCGAUGUGAAAUACCAGGGCUCAACCUUGGUGCUGCGUUGGAAACUGUUUGACUGGAGUGCGGUAGGGGAGACUGGAAUUCCUGGUGUAGCGGUGAAAUGCGUAGAUAUCAGGAAGAACACCUGUGGCGAAGGCGGGUCUCUGGGCCGCAACUGACACUGAGACGCGAAAGCGUGGGGAGCAAACAGG